GAUGAACGCUAGCGGCAGGCCUAAUACAUGCAAGUCGGACGGGAUUCAGGAGCUUGCUUCUGAUGAGAGUGGCGCACGGGUGCGUAACACGUAUGUAACCUACCUUUAUCAGAGGGAUAGCCUCUCGAAAGAGAGAUUAAGCCCGCAUAAAAUCACAGCACAGCAUUGUGUAAUGAUCAAAUAUUUAUAGGAUAAAGAUGGGCAUGCGGAACAUUAGCUAGAUGGCGGGGUAACGGCCCACCAUGGCGACGAUGUUUAGGGGAUCUGAGAGGAUGGCCCCCCAAACUGGUACUGAGACACGGACCAGACUCCUACGGGAGGCAGCAGUAAGGAAGAUUGGUCAAUGGGCGGAAGCCUGAACCAGCCAUGCCGCGUGCAGGAAGACGGCCCUACGGGUUGUAAACUGCUUUUAUACGGGAAUAAACCCAGAUACGUGUAUCUGGCUGAAUGUACUGUAAGAAUAAGAAUCGGCUAACUCCGUG
RNAcentral lists this ribosomal RNA (482 nucleotides) under uncultured bacterium. Its description in RNAcentral is "partial 16S ribosomal RNA". It matches the Rfam family "Bacterial small subunit ribosomal RNA", at positions 28 to 507 of the family's 1533-position model. The record is from RNAcentral.